RNAcentral lists this ribosomal RNA (487 nucleotides) under uncultured bacterium. RNAcentral's name for it is "bacterial SSU rRNA". It matches the Rfam family "Bacterial small subunit ribosomal RNA", at positions 28 to 524 of the family's 1533-position model. The record is from RNAcentral.
GAUGAACGCUGGCGGCGUGCCUAAUACAUGAAAGUCGAACGAGGUGCUUUUGUAGCAAUACGAGAGUAUCCUAGUGGCGAACGGGUGAGUAACGCGUUGGUGACCUACCCCAAAGUGUGGGAUAACAGUCCGAAAGGAUUGCUAAUACCGCAUGUGGUCUUCGGAUUUAGAAAUUGAUGACUAAAGGAGCAAUUCGCUUUGGGAGGGACCUGCGUCCCAUCAGCUAGUUGGUGAGGUAAUGGCUCACCAAGGCUACGACGGGUAGGGGACCUGAGAGGGUGACCCCCCCACAAUGGAACUGAAACACGGUCCAUACACCUACGGGUGGCAGCAGUAGGGAAUAUUGCACAAUGGGCGAAAGCCUGAUGCAGCAACGCCGCGUGUGCGAUGAAGGCCUUCGGGUCGUAAAGCACUUUUCUGGGAGAUGAGCAAGGACAGUAUCUCAGGAAUAAGUCUCGGCUAACUACGUGCCAGCAGCCGCGGUAAU